AGUCGCCGCGGGAAUACGGAGGGUGCAAGCGUUAAUCGGAAUUACUGGGCGUAAAGCGCACGCAGGCGGUCUGACAAGUCAGAUGUGAAAUCCCCGGGCUUAACCUGGGAACUGCAUUUGAAACUGUCAGGCUGGAGUCUUGUAGAGGGGGGUGGAAUUCCAGGUGUAGCGGUGAAAUGCGUAGAGAUCUGGAGGAAUACCGGUGGCGAAGGCGGCCCCCUGGACAAAGACUGACGCUCAGGUGCGAAAGCGUGGGGAGCAAACAGGAUUAGAUACCCGUGUAGUCCCUGUCUCUUAUACA
Molecule: ribosomal RNA, 301 nt
Filed under: uncultured bacterium
Lineage: Bacteria
Description: partial 16S ribosomal RNA
Rfam family: Bacterial small subunit ribosomal RNA
Source: RNAcentral